AGCUUUGCCCAGUGGCAGUACCACAGCCCACGAGGUCUAUCCAAGGCAGGAUGAUUGCUAAUUGAAAACUCUUCCCUGUUGGUAGCCACUCAGACUGUGUCCAGAGUGUCGCUGCCAAGUGAGCUCUUCCUGUUUUGUCAUUAGUAUACAUGCACAAGAGAUUUUUGGGGUGAGAUAAUUAGCU
Molecule: small nuclear RNA, 184 nt
Filed under: Octodon degus (degu)
Lineage: Eukaryota; Metazoa; Chordata; Mammalia; Rodentia; Octodontidae
Description: U4 spliceosomal RNA (ENSODEG00000025713.1)
Source: RNAcentral